RNAcentral lists this ribosomal RNA (262 nucleotides) under uncultured bacterium. RNAcentral's name for it is "partial 16S ribosomal RNA". It matches the Rfam family "Bacterial small subunit ribosomal RNA", at positions 524 to 776 of the family's 1533-position model. The record is from RNAcentral.
GACAGAGGUGCCGAGCGCUAGGCGGAAUCACUGGGCUUAAAGCGGUGUGUAGGCGGAUCUGUAAGUACCUUGUGAAAUCCCACGGCUCAACCGUGGAAACUGCUUGGUAUACUGCGGGGUUCUGAGCCACCUAGGGGCAAGUGGAACAAACGGUGGGAGCGGUGAAAAUGCGUAGAUGAUCGUUUGGAACGCCAAUGGUGAAAACAACUUGGCUGGGGGUGUGACUGACGCUGGAGACACGAAAGCCAGGGGAGCAAACGGG